RNAcentral lists this transfer RNA (69 nucleotides) under Galerucella birmanica (water lily leaf beetle). RNAcentral describes it as "tRNA-Lys". The record is from RNAcentral. Lineage: Eukaryota; Metazoa; Arthropoda; Insecta; Coleoptera; Chrysomelidae. RNAcentral also lists the same sequence under 1 other name.
CAUUAGAUGGCUGAAAGUAAGCCAUGGAAUUUUAAACCAUUUAUAAUAUUUUAACGUAUAUUUCUAAUG